AUACGUAGGGUGCAAGCGUUAAUCGGAAUUACUGGGCGUAAAGCGUGCGCAGGCGGUUCGGAAAGAAAGAUGUGAAAUCCCAGGGCUUAACCUUGGAACUGCAUUUUUAACUACCGGGCUAGAGUGCGUCAGAGGGGGGUGGAAUUCCGCGUGUAGCAGUGAAAUGCGUAGAUAUGCGGAGGAACACCGAUGGCGAAGGCAGCCCCCUGGGAUGACACUGACGCUCAUGCACGAAAGCGUGGGGAGCAAACAGGAUUAGAUACCCUGGUAGUCCACGCCCUAAACGAUGUCAACUAGCUGUUGGGGCCUUCGGGCCUUGGUAGCGCAGCUAACGCGUGAAGUUGACCGCCUGGGGAGUACGGUCGCAAGAUUAA
RNAcentral lists this ribosomal RNA (374 nucleotides) under uncultured bacterium. RNAcentral describes it as "bacterial SSU rRNA". It matches the Rfam family "Bacterial small subunit ribosomal RNA", at positions 523 to 897 of the family's 1533-position model. The record is from RNAcentral.